GGGGAAUCUUGCACAAUGGAGGAAACUCUGAUGCAGCGACGCCGCGUGAGCGAAGAAGCCUUUCGGGGUGUAAAGCUCUUACGCCAGGGACGAUAAUGACGGUACCUGGAGAAGCAGCUGCGGCUAACUACGUGCCAGCAGCCGCGGUAAUACGUAGGCAGCAAGCGUUGUUCGGAAUUACUGGGCGUAAAGGGUGCGUAGGCGGCGCUCUAAGUCUGGUGUGAAAUCUCCCGGCUUAACUGGGAGGGUGCACUGAAAACUGGGGCGCUCGAGUAUGGGAGAGGAAAGCGGAAUUCCUGGUGUAGCGGUGAAAUGCGUAGAGAUCAGGAGGAACACCGGCGGUGUAGACGGCUUGCUAGACCAUAACUGACGCUGAGGCACGAAAGCGUGGGUAGCAAACA
Molecule: ribosomal RNA, 401 nt
Filed under: uncultured bacterium
Lineage: Bacteria
Description: bacterial SSU rRNA
Rfam family: Bacterial small subunit ribosomal RNA
Source: RNAcentral